AUUGGACGCUGGCGGCAGGCCUAACACAUGCAAGUCGAACGGUAACAGGAAGAAGCUUGCUUCUUUGCUGACGAGUGGCGGACGGGUGAGUAAUGUCUGGGAAACUGCCUGAUGGAGGGGGAUAACUACUGGAAACGGUAGCUAAUACCGCAUAACGUCGCAAGACCAAAGAGGGGGACCUUCGGGCCUCUUGCCAUCGGAUGUGCCCAGAUGGGAUUAGCUAGUAGGUGGGGUAACGGCUCACCUAGGCGACGAUCCCUAGCUGGUCUGAGAGGAUGACCAGCCACACUGGAACUGAGACACGGUCCAGACUCCUACGGGAGGCAGCAGCGGGGAAUAUUGCACAAAGGGCGCAAGCCUGAUGCAGCCAUGCCGCGUGUAUGAAGAAGGCCUUCGGGUUGUAAAGUACUUUCAGCGGGGAGGAAGGGAGUAAAGUUAAUACCUUUACUCAUUGACGUUACCCGCAGAAGAAGCACCGGCUAACUCCGUG
Molecule: ribosomal RNA, 490 nt
Filed under: uncultured bacterium
Lineage: Bacteria
Description: partial 16S ribosomal RNA
Rfam family: Bacterial small subunit ribosomal RNA
Source: RNAcentral